GGCUGCAGAUGCAGCAUACGGAAGUUCCCAGGCUAGGGGUUGAAUCAAAGCUGUGGUUGCCACAGCCACAGCAAUGCCAGAUCUGAGCCACAUCUGUGACCUAUACCAUAGCUCAUGGCAACACAGGAUCCUUAACCCACUGAGUGAGGCCAGGGAUUGAACCCACAUCCUAAUGGAUCCUAGUAGGUUUUUUACUGCUGAGCCACAAUGGGAACUCUGCUUUUGUUAUUUUUAAUGUGGCUUCUCUCUCUAUUGCUUUUAUACUUUGAGAUAUUAACACUUUUUAUUUGAACCCUUGUAUCUCUUCUUAGAGAAAACAUGUUAACUGGAACUCUUUGAGAAUAUAAAGAACUAUUUUAUAAAAAUAUUCCUGUGUUUCUUUGUCUAAUUAGUCUUACAAUGUGUUAUUUCUACCUGUUUUUACUCAUGUUUCUUAAUUUUGUUUCCUCUUUUUUUCCUCUUUUGUCUUUUGGAUAGGUCUUAUUAUUUAUUUUGGAGGGAGUUUGACUAUUUUGUGCAGAAAAGUGUUGAGAAUGGUGGGAUUGCAGGGAAGGUGGGUACAACGGAACACCUGCAGCUUUGGUGCAUUGAACACCUGAGGGCUUGUAUCAGUGAGGCUCACAGCAACACUCUUUGGGGCAGGGCUCUCUGUGUUUUGCUCUGACACUCACUCCUUCUUUUCCUUCACACCCUUUCACUGUAAGGAACACUCCUCAGCUUAGCAUCUGGUUAUAGAACAUAGAAAUUACCCAUCUGCAUAGUUCCCUCCAAACUCAUCUUCUUUCUCUGUUCAAUUUGCCACAGAAUAGUUUUUCUCCCUUACCAAUGUCAGGUUGUAUUUGUGGCCUGAGAUUUUAUAACUCCAGGUAAAUAAUCUUUAGAUUUAUCUUUCAGGAUGACACUUGGUACCCAGAGCACCAAGAUGGCAAAGUCAGUUCUGAGGCCCCAGGAAAGAGUACAGAUUUGUACAAUAAAUACCUAUAUAUCAUCUAGAUUCUGCCACUAAGGUUUUACUGUUUUUGUUUAAUCCUAUGCCUAUCCAUUUAUAUAUUCCUCUUUCCUUCUAACAGUGAAUUAAUAAUCAUCUUUGCUAUUUUAUUCCCCACCUCCCCCAAGAAAGAAUAACAAUGUGCCAGAGGUAGAUGCUUAGGAAGUAGUAAAACUUAAUUUUCAGUUAUAGUCAGUUUAAAAAUCAUAGAAAAAGUUCGUGUGUUGCCCUUUGAUAAAAAUGAGUAACGUUGUCAAGUAAUUAGUAAUAUAAUCAAAAAUUAGUUUAUACAGGGACCAAACUUGCAUCAAUAACCAUAUCUAUAAAUUUUUUCUCUGUGGGACUUGGUCCAUUGGAGCAUCUUGCUUCAAACAAAAAGUGAGUUUAUUCAGAUGUCAUCCAUAUCAUAUAAAAUUAAUAUAGAUAAUUUCCUUCUGUACAGGUCAUCUUUCUUGACCCUGGCACAAGUGACUAGGGACCUAUUACAGAAAUCCUCACUAUUACAUCAAUCAAAUAAACUGGUUUUCAUUUUGCUUGUGUUGGAGGUGGAAGAUACUGCCAGUUAAGAACAGCUUCAGAGCUUUUGUACACUGCAGAGUGACACACAGAACCCACUAGAAUUGUUCAUACGCUUACCUCUCUACCACAGUUUUGACAUUUGAGACAAUCGCAUGGAAGGUCAACCAACAAUGCAUUUUCCACCCAGGGAAUAUGACAGAAGUGUUGAUAAAGGGAAGUAUAAGAUAUCCAACAACCCUAAAAUCUGAAGGGAUCAGGAAUUGAGACCUGAGGAGCUAGCUUGUAUCCCUUUCUUCAUCAUGGACACAAAUCAGGAUGAAGUGAAGAGAAAAAGCAUGAGUCCAGUUCAAGUAGAUUUUCUCCACCUUGGGUUCUACUAAUAAUAGCAAUAUGAACUUACUCUCACGGGAUAAAAUCCAUUGGUCUGGGGGGGUACCAUCUUAAGAAAGAGGUCUAACAUGUGGGAAAUGGGAAACUGAAUACAUACUGGUUGUCAUGGAGUCAGGUAUGAUCUCACCUGUGUGACCAUAUAUCUUAGCUUUCCUGAGACAGUUCUGGUUUACUGCCUUAUUUAUUACUAUCAUAUACAUUUAUAUUAGCAAUUCCUCUUUACCAUUUAAAGUAUGGAUAAUAAAUUAGGUCUUCACCUAAGGCAUCAAUGAAUACAAAAAUGGUGGAAAUUUUUUCUCCCAUGACUUUUAACUGACAUUGAUUACUAAAUCAGGAGGAAACUUUUAAUUAGCUGGAUAAGUACCCCUCAAAUAGGAAUAUCGACUCCCCAAAGUGGUAGAUAAAAAUCCCAGCAUGAAAAUGGUGAAAACCACAGGGUAUAUCGACAAAUAAGGUCAAGUGAACACAAAAUCCUGAUAUAUUGUUUUCAAAACAAAGCAAAAAAACUUAAGAGAAAAUAUUUCUCAGCUGGGGCUGUAGCUGCCUUUCUAUGUUGCUGACUAUAAACCUCCAGCAUACAAUUCUCAAGAAAGGUACCUGGAUCAAUGGAGAAAACUCAAGUUUCUCUUGUCUCCCUGUCUGAACAAAGAGAAGACAUGGAUAGAUUGCAUAGACCUGUCAUGCUCAAGAGUGUAUCAGAAAAUGUAAGCCACACACUGGCAUGCACAUGCAUAGCCAGUGUGUGUGAAAAAACACUCAGCAACUAGAAUGGAAGUUAAAAAACAAAGGAGACAGAAGAAAGAAAAAUGAAGAGUGUAAUUUUGAAGAAGAGAAUACUGUUUUGCAUUCACUGGGAAAAUUAGGGAAACAAACUAAAACAUGGCUCAACGAAAGAUAAGAACGGAAGAUAUCACAUGAGAUAGAAAGGGAGGCUUCAGAGCGAGAGAAAGAAACUAAGGAAAGUUCAAAACAAAGAAUGCCAUCUGACAAAAAUAAACUAGCAUCAGAUAAUCUUAGUAACUGCGACAUGUUGUCUCCAAAUAUGGCCGGAAACAACUCCUCCCAUCCCGGCAUCACCACGGGGGCCCUCCAAUCAGGAAGAUUCCAUUCCCCUUUUCUAUGAAACCAGUACCCUUGUGACUUGGUUUGGAUCAAAUGGAAGGUGGGAGACAUGUGGCUCUAGGACCUCCCAGACCAGGAAUUAACAAGACUGGCAGCUUCCACUUUCUCCCUCUCAGCUCCCAGUUUCCAAGUUGUCCAGGAUAGACCAUUGGAUGGCUAGAGGCCAUGUGAAGAGAGGCUUUUGAGGAUGAAAAGUUGUUCUGUAGUUGAAGCCUCACCACAGUUCAAGCUGAAUGCAGCCACAUGAGUGACCUCAGUAGUAACCAUUGAACAGAACAGCCCAGCAGAGCCAACUCAAGAUAUAGGUUAAAGAGAAAUAACACUUAUUGUAUUUUAAAUCACUAAGCUUUACAGUGGGCUGUAGCAAGAUGUUUUGAAACAGUAACUAACAGUCCUCAUAUAACUGGUAUAUGCCAAACUCUGGGAUAAGCACUUCAUUUAAUUUUCAAAUUCCUUUUUCUUCACCCCUAAUAUCAUAACUUUUUGUUAAGCCCUCAGUCUUGCCCAAACAGAAAAAAAAAGGAUAAAAGGCUUUCAAGUUGGAGUCCUAGACUUCUAACUUGAUCCCACCUCCAACUGAUCCUCUCUGCUGUCACUAGAGAAAGUUAUGUAAAAUGAAAUUUAAGCCAUUACCCAACUACAAAUUUCAUAUUUUUCUCUAAUCUGUCUCUCCAGUAUGUUUCUCAAUUUCACUCCAAUAAUGUCUCACUACUUCUUCCUCCUCUAAAUCCACCCAUGAUGUCCCUUUACCCCCAAUGACCUUUUCUAUUCUCUUUAAUUUCACCUGCAAAUAUUUCACCUUUCAGACAGCAGCUCAGAUAUCAUGUCUUCCAAGGAGCUUGUCUUGACUGUAUUUUCCCAGGAUUAGAUAAAGGGUCUCCCUGGAUUACCCAGACCACCACUGGAACAGGUGUUAUAAUGACUUGGCUACUACAUUGUAUCCAGCUGUUUAUAAAUCUGCCAUGUGCAGUAGACAAUAAUCCUGUUAAAGACAAAGGUUUGCUGUUCCUGGAAGUUGCUCUAUAGCUAUGUGACCUUAGACAUAAGCUCUCUGUGCCUCCUCAUUCUUUCUCUGUAAAGUAAGACCUCUCCCAUGGAGCUUUGUUAUGAUGAUUAAAUGAGUUGGGCAAGUGUUGUGUUUAGAACCAUUGAUGGUAAUUUAAUUUAUUAUUAUUAUUUUUUAUUGCUCAAUAUAUGUCUGUUGAAUAUAGUAAACCUAAAAAGAUGGGUAAGAUUUGGCGAAGAAAGAGAGAAGAGAUGAGGGAACGAAGGAAUGUCUUCAAGGUAUAAGUAACAUUCUCCCUAAUUCAGUGAAUGGUCUCACCAUCUACACAGGCACUCAGACCACAAACUCAAGAGGUGUGUUGUCCUGAGAUGUUCCAUGGCCCUGCAUUCCUAAUAUUCAAUCACCCCUCAGUUUUUCCUCCAAUAUGCAUGUUGAGUCUGUCCGCCUAUCUCUAUGUCCCUGGCUACCACUCUAAAACAUCAUUAUUUUCUUUGGAAAUAACCACAGUAGUCUCACAAUGGGCUUCUAUGCCCUACCCCCUCUCUACUCCCCACAACUCCUUGCCCUUUAGAAAUUCAUUUACCAAAGGUUAAAUUCUUUUUUUUUUUUUUUUUCUUUUUAGGGCCACACCUGUGGCGUAUGGAAGUUCUCAGGCUAGGGGUCCAAACAGAGCUGCGGCUGCCAGCCUACACCACAGUCAGAGCAACACAGGAUUUGAGCCACAUCUGCAACCCAUACCACAACUCCCAGCAAUGCUGGAUUCUUAACCCACUGAGUGAGGUCAGGGAUCAAACCCACAUCCCCAUGAAUACUAGUCGGGUUCAUUAAUUGCUGAGCCACAACUUGACUACCUGUCAGAUGCCAUCCACCCUCUCUUCUUCAUCAUCCUCCAUGUACAGUGGACUCCCUCCAGGUCCCCACUUAGCCUUUUCCCACCAAGAGUCCUCUCCAAACCUCCUAAGCUUUGCCAAUUCUCUUUUCUUUGUUCUCUCAGUGAUCUUACUUUCUCAUCUUUCAAAAUUCAGGUAAACCAUCCCCAGUCUUCUCCUCUAUGGCA
This 5082-nucleotide long non-coding RNA is filed under the name Sus scrofa (pig). RNAcentral's name for it is "lncRNA (ENSSSCG00045011689.1)". The record is from RNAcentral. Lineage: Eukaryota; Metazoa; Chordata; Mammalia; Artiodactyla; Suidae.